Chiloscyllium plagiosum (whitespotted bambooshark) is the source of this 518-nucleotide non-coding RNA. NCBI's taxonomy places the organism in Eukaryota, Metazoa, Chordata, Chondrichthyes, Orectolobiformes, Hemiscylliidae. The record is from RefSeq and is a predicted model, not a curated record.
UCUGGUCGGCAUGGACGGGCUGGACUGAAGGGUCUGUUUCCAUGCUGUACAUCUCUAUUAUUCUACUGGAUCUCACUAAAAACAAUAGAAAUUGUGAGUUCAUGCAUGCCAAACUGUUAGCAUUUCUCCCUGACAUAAAUGUUCAAUAACAUAAAUGUUGCCAAAACGUAAUGACAGUACCGUGUUGCGUAUAUUUCCAGACAAGUAAUUCAGAAACCUGGCUGAAUGAUCUGGAGACAUAGGACAUGGUCUUGGCUUCUCCGUUAGGGACUUGACAUCAGGAUCCAUUAGGAGUCACCACUCCACAGUGUGUGGGAAGCAAUCACCUGGGUGCGAUUUUCUUCAAAUUGACCAAUUGUUGACCAGAAGAGACAAACAAAACUGCAGAUGUUGGAAUUCAAAGUAGACAGUCAGGAGACUGAAAGAUCACAGCAAGCCCGGCAGCAUCAGAUGGGGAUGUCGACGUUUCAGGCGGAGACCCAGACACUGCUGUGGGGAAGCGCAGUCCACUCGGAGGG